AGAAUCAACGCUGGCGGCGCGCUUAACACAUGCAAGUCGAGCGAGAAAGUGGAGCAAUCCAUGAGUAAAGCGGCGUACGGGUGAGUAACACGUGGGUAAUCUACCUCUUUGUGGGGAAUAACAAUGGGAAACCGUUGCUAAUACCGCAUAAGCCUGAGAAGGGAAAGCAGCAAUGCGCUGAGAGAGGAGCCCGCGGCCGAUUAGCUAGUUGGUGAGGUAAUGGCUCACCAAGGCUUAGAUCGGUAGCCGGCCUGAGAGGGCACACGGCCACACUGGCACUGAAACACGGGCCAGACUCCUACGGGAGGCAGCAGUGGGGAAUCUUGCACAAUGGGGGCAACCCUGAUGCAGCGACGCCGCGUGAGCGAUGAAGCCCUUCGGGGUGUAAAGCUCUUUCGGCAGGGAAGAUAAUGACGGUACCUGCAGAAGCAGCUGCGGCUAACUACGUGCCAGCAGCCGCGGU
This 463-nucleotide ribosomal RNA is filed under the name uncultured bacterium. RNAcentral describes it as "SSU rRNA". It matches the Rfam family "Bacterial small subunit ribosomal RNA", at positions 26 to 521 of the family's 1533-position model. The record is from RNAcentral.